GCCUUGAUGAACAUUUCACCUUUAUAGCCUGGUUAGAAAGUUAAGUUCUCUGAACAAAUGACUAGUAAUCACUUAUUGUUAGAAAGCAGAUAGAUCUGCUUCCCAUUCUUCCACCACCACCAAUUCAGGGAUGGCUUGUAUUUCUUCCAGUCACCAAGUAUUGGGGACGCUUUGGGUAUGGAGGAAGAAUCAAAUAUAUUGGUCAUAAGAAGUCGGAAAGCUUAGAACGGGAGAAGAAAAUGAUUCUCAAAGCAGUAGCACUUACCAAAUCUAAUCCCCUUGAGCUGGAACCUUCACCAGUGAUGUCUGAAGGGAGAGCUAAACUCUUCCAGAAGCCCAAGUUCAAACCUCUCCCUCUUCAAAAGCGGUGGCAAGAGAAAUUCGAUCGAUCUGAGCAGUUCCCCAAGAUGCGCGAGGUUCCCCCUUGCUCCAGUUUUCCCACCCGGCAGUGGAGGAAGGCUCAGAGCCGGGACAGCUCCAGUAGCCGGAGCAGCGUGUCCUCUGAGCGCCUGACAGUAAUGAUUAAUUUCAUCCCGCCUCCUGGGAGAGAGUCCCGCCCGGCAACUGACCAGCGGCCCAGGUGGACAGCACUGGUCACGAGACUCCUCGGCACUAGCUCCAAGAGCCUUCCGCAACUACAAAUCGACUGCCCUAAUGUGGGAGCAUAACAGAAGGAAGUAACAACUGAUGUGACCUCCCUUAUCCAGCCCUGCAGAGAUUUCUUAUUCAACAGAGCAUUUUGUCCCUUAGGCAAAACACAGCUGCAUUUUGUUUUAAGAAUAUGAUCCUGAACACACAUACACGAACACAAAUACACACACACACACACACACACACACACACACACACUAGUGAUGGGGUGUGUACAUAUAUAUGCCUUAUCACCAGGAAUUUGAGGAUUCUAAUGAAGGAUCUAUUCUUUGGGGAAUCUACCUUUCAAAGCUGUCUGGCAGUGUUCAGAAUUCAAAUUCAUCACAGGCUAUCACUCACAAUAUAUAACUUUAAUGCACACUUCCACAUUGAGAAACUGAAAGUCAGAAAGGAAUAUUAUUUGGCAGAAUAGAGCUCAACCUGUCUUUUUAUGUUUCGUAGUAUUACAAUUUAGAGUAUUAAUUUGGAUAAGUCAUCAAAAAUCUUUGUCAUCUACAUGAUCCAGAAUUAUCCAACAGUGCAAUUCAUCAUUGUAGUCAGAAGUCUUCAGAUAUGCUUAGAAUUCUGAAAGAACUUUCAUUUUAUAUAUAAGAACUAAUACAUUUAAUAGAGACUUAUAAUAGGCAGAAAAUUAAGUAGAGUAAAAACAAAUAUGCUUUUUGGUUCUCAAAACAAGCCCAUGAAAUAGGGGCUAUUGUUACUCCCGUUAAUCCCAUUUUGCAAAGAACACACUUGAGAACAAGAAGUUAUAUCCUGCCCAGGAACACAAAUCUAUACAUAUGAGAUAAUAUUUAAACCCAGUCUUUCUAACUAAAAAUGCAGCAGGCUAUCCUCCAGGACAUGAUUAAUAAAU
This 1504-nucleotide long non-coding RNA is filed under the name Sarcophilus harrisii (Tasmanian devil). RNAcentral describes it as "lncRNA (ENSSHAG00000028879.1)". Lineage: Eukaryota; Metazoa; Chordata; Mammalia; Dasyuromorphia; Dasyuridae. The record is from RNAcentral.